GAUGAACGCUGGCGGCGUGCUUAACACAUGCAAGUCGAACGGAAAGGCCCAAGCUUGCUUGGGUACUCGAGUGGCGAACGGGUGAGUAACACGUGGGUGAUCUGCCCUGCACUUCGGGAUAAGCCUGGGAAACUGGGUCUAAUACCGGAUAGGACCACUUCUUGGAUGUUGUGGUGGAAAGUUUUUUCGGUGUGGGAUGAGCUCGCGGCCUAUCAGCUUGUUGGUGGGGUAAUGGCCUACCAAGGCGUCGACGGGUAGCCGGCCUGAGGGGGUGUACGGCCACAUUGGGACUUGGAUACGGCCCAGACUCCUACGGGAGGCAGCAGUGGGGAAUAUUGCACAAUGGGCGCAAGCCUGAUGCAGCGACGCCGCGUGGGGGAUGACGGCCUUCGGGUUGUAAACUCCUUUCGCUAGGGACGAAGCGUUUUGUGACGGUACCUGGAGAAGAAGCACCGGCUAACUACGUG
RNAcentral lists this ribosomal RNA (467 nucleotides) under uncultured bacterium. RNAcentral's name for it is "partial 16S ribosomal RNA". It matches the Rfam family "Bacterial small subunit ribosomal RNA", at positions 28 to 507 of the family's 1533-position model. The record is from RNAcentral.